UACGGAAGGCAGCAGUGGGGAAUAUUGCACAAUGGGCGCAAGCCUGAUGCAGCCAUGCCGCGUGUAUGAAGAAGGCCUUCGGGUUGUAAAGUACUUUCAGUCGUGAGGAAGGUGUUAAGGUUAAUAACCUUAGCAAUUGACGUUAGCGACAGAAGAAGCACCGGCUAACUCCGUGCCAGCAGCCGCGAUAAUACGGAGGGUGCGAGCGUUAAUCGGAAUUACUGGGCGUAAAGGGCACGCAGGCGGUUAAUUAAGUUGGAUGUGAAAUCCCCGGGCUUAACCUGGGAAUGGCAUUCAAGACUGGUUAGCUAGAGUCUUGUAGAGGGGGUAGAAUUCCAUGUGUAGCGGUGAAAUGCGUAGAGAUGUGGAGGAAUACCGGUGGCGAAGGCGGCCCCUGGGACAAAGACUGACGCUCAUGUGCGAAAGCGUGGGGAGCAAACAGGAUUAGAUACC
Molecule: ribosomal RNA, 453 nt
Filed under: uncultured bacterium
Lineage: Bacteria
Description: bacterial SSU rRNA
Rfam family: Bacterial small subunit ribosomal RNA
Source: RNAcentral